UGCAAGGCGUUUUGUUGCAACAGAAGCUGAGCAAGCUUUUGCUCUCUGAACCAGUGUAAGGUGUGGGAAACUUUACUUCGCGAACAGACAGGGGAAAACGCUAGCCUGUUUAGCCGGAAUAGCUGAAGGGUUCUCAAUGAUGGAAGCGCCAUUCAUCAAGAGCUUCCGGAAACUCUCUUUUCACCUCAGUCCCAGCACCCAGCCCCACAAAGGCUUCUCACACGCCUUGUGAAGCUGGCCCCCCUCUCCCUCCCUCCCCGGAUGACCUUGAACUUCUGAACUUUCUGUCACUGUCUCCUUCGUGCUGGGAUUAAGGAAAUGUGCCUCCAGUGCCUGGUUUGUAUGCAGUGACGAGGAUCAAGUCAUGACUCUGCAAGCACCUUGACAACAGCCCUGCAACCUAGGCCUCGAGUGUUGAUUCUCAGCCACUUUACUAUCUUAAUUCUCUUGCCUGCUGUGCACAAUCUUGUCGUACAACUCAGCAGUCCAAUGUGCUUUAUGUCCGAUCGUUAUUCUUAGGUAUGCACAAUUUACAUCCCUAAAAUUAUAUUUACUCAUUUCCAUGUCAAACAUGAGCUUGAUAAAGACUGAUUGCAGUGGUUGUCUAAAGCCUUUAACCUGUGGCUCGGAUGUGGGUUAUGGUCACACCUAUAGAUGGUUCCUGCCAUUCAUUUCCAAGUUUAGAAAUUGGUAUUUGUGUGUGUGUGUGUGAAAGAGAGAGAGAGAGAGACUGCUGUUUUAAUACAAAGAACAAGAGAUUGCAUUUUAUGUAUGUAUAAUGAGACAUUCGGAUGUCCAAUGCUGAAGUCCUAGAGAACCACAGUUUCACACAAAGCAAAGCGGAUUCCCAUACUAAAACUAAUCUAAGAAAGUGUAAGAAUACUGUACAGAAGAAAGGGCAGAGAACUGACGAGUGACACACGCUAGCUCCAAUUAACUCUCUUUGGUGACCUACCCAUCGUCUUUAGAUCAACUCUCUGAGUGAGUUAGCCAUCGCCAGCAAAGCACAGGCACUAAAAUCUACUGCAGGGCUAUUGUGAGAUAAAUGGCGUGAUGGUGGAGGACAGCCCCAAACAACAAGCUGGGCUGAGGACCACCAGGGACCAUCACAGACGCUCUCGGCUCCUCCUUACGCUCAGCUCUGCCAAGUCCUCUCCCAAAAGUGUUUGUGCCGUGCAAAUGCAUCUCUGCAGAAAUGUCUGUUGCCUCUGAUCUCUUCUAUGACUUUUUGUUUGUUUGUUUGCUUGUUUGUCUGUUUAGCCUUGGCUGUCCUGGAACUCACUCUGUAGACCAGGCUGGCCUCAGACUCACACAGAUCUUCCUGCCUCUGCCUCCCGAGUGCUGGGAUUAAAGGCGUGUGCCACCCAGGCCCAGCUGCUUCUAUGACUCUUAAACCUAA
This is a long non-coding RNA of Psammomys obesus (fat sand rat), 1399 nucleotides long. RefSeq lists it as uncharacterized. The record is from RefSeq and is a predicted model, not a curated record. The transcript is spliced from 3 exons. Lineage: Eukaryota; Metazoa; Chordata; Mammalia; Rodentia; Muridae.